Molecule: long non-coding RNA, 681 nt
Filed under: Chlamydomonas reinhardtii
Lineage: Eukaryota; Viridiplantae; Chlorophyta; Chlorophyceae; Chlamydomonadales; Chlamydomonadaceae
Description: long non-coding RNA (CREI_LNC000205)
Source: RNAcentral
CUAAAUGCGCAAAGUUGCAAGUUCUCCCGUUGCCUGGUGUGCGUGGCAAGGGAGCCCUGGUCGUCGCCACCGAACUGCAGCUGGAUCUGGUGCUAAAGUGCUGCAGCAAACGCGCAAGUGCGGUUAGCAUGGCACGGGGGCUUCGCAUGGCGCGCUUCCAGACUACUCCCACAUACUCACGAGAAGCCAUGUUGCUAACUGCAGACCUGGCCGCGCGUGUGCACGAGUUUGAGGCGCUCUUCGGGGGGCGUAUACGCAGUGCCUUCAGAGCAGUUGCAGAGCGAGGUGUGUCAUAGCGCGACGAUGCGAAAGCAAGACGAUGCGAAUGCACACAUGUUUGCCGAAGCAUUAACUUACCAUCAUUGCUCCGCGUACAGGCCGCCACGAGGACUUGCCAGGGCCAUCCAGUGCAGGCCGCGAUGUUGCAGGUGCGUAACAUGGCACAACUGUGCAGUUUGCUAUCUAUCUUUCCGGGACCCGGGCUGUCACGCAGGGCCGCAGACUGAUAACGACAACGAAGUCAAUAUCGGGUCGUGAGGCAUGGGUGAAUUAACCAGCUUUUGCGACGGCAGAACGAGUGCACAAUUUGCAUAUCAGGAUGUUACCGCUGUCCCAUUGUUAUUUUGCCUAUGCAGGGCGGAAUGCCGGUGCUGGGCCUUCCACUGCUGGGCUUUCCACAGC